Transfer RNA from Tritrichomonas foetus, 80 nucleotides. It matches the Rfam family "tRNA". Rfam says of the family: Transfer RNA (tRNA) molecules are approximately 80 nucleotides in length. Their secondary structure includes four short double-helical elements and three loops (D, anti-codon, and T loops). Lineage: Eukaryota; Parabasalia; Tritrichomonadida; Tritrichomonadidae. The record is from Rfam.
GGUCAUCUGGCCGAGCGGUCUAAGGCGCUAGUUUUAGGCACUAGUCUGAAAGGGCGCGGGUUCGAACCCCGCGGUGACCA